AAAAAAAACCCUUUCUACUUAACAUUGUCUUAACCUCGUACUCUUUAUCCUCUUUCUUUCCAGGCUUCUGAAUUCCCUUCUGAGUUAAUGUCAAAUGACAGCAAAGCACUGUGUGGCUGAAUAAGCGGUGUUCAUGAUUUCUUUUAUUCUUUGCACAACAACAACAACAACAAAUUCACGGAAUCUUUUAAGUGCUGAACUUAUUUUUCAACCAUUUCACAAGGAGGACAAGUUGAAUGGACCUUUUUAAAAAGAAAAAAAAAAUGGAAGGAAAACUAAGAAUGAUCAUCUUCCCAGGGUGUUCUCUUACUUGGACUGUGAUAUUCGUUAUUUAUGAAAAAGACUUUUAAAUGCCCUUUCUGCAGUUGGAAGGUUUUCUUUAUAUACUAUUCCCACCAUGGGGAGCGAAAACGUUAAAAUCACAAGGAAUUGCCCAAUCUAAGCAGACUUUGCCUUUUUUCAAAGGUGGAGCGUGAAUACCAGAAGGAUCCAGUAUUCAGUCACUUAAAUGAAGUCUUUUGGUCAGAAAUUACCUUUUUGACACAAGCCUACUGAAUGCUGUGUAUAUAUUUAUAUAUAAAUAUAUCUAUUUGAGUGAAACCUUGUGAACUCUUUAAUUAGAGUUUUCUUGUAUAGUGGCAGAGAUGUCUAUUUCUGCAUUCAAAAGUGUAAUGAUGUACUUAUUCAUGCUAAACUUUUUAUAAAAGUUUAGUUGUAAAUUAACCCUUUUAUACAAAAUAAAUCAAGUGUGUUUAUUGAAUGGUGAUUGCCUGCUUUAUUUCAGAGGACCAGUGCUUUGAUUUUUAUUAUGCUAUGUUAUAACUGAACCCAAAUAAAUACAAGUUCAAAUUUAUGUAGACUGUAUAAGAUUAUAAUAAAACAUGUCUGAAGUCAA
RNAcentral lists this long non-coding RNA (895 nucleotides) under Pan troglodytes (chimpanzee). RNAcentral's name for it is "long non-coding RNA NONPTRT009946". The record is from RNAcentral. Lineage: Eukaryota; Metazoa; Chordata; Mammalia; Primates; Hominidae.